RNA transcript from Choloepus didactylus (southern two-toed sloth), 1121 nucleotides. It is a transcript of the gene named small integral membrane protein 19, with no coding region annotated. The transcript is spliced from 6 exons. The record is from RefSeq and is a predicted model, not a curated record. NCBI's taxonomy places the organism in Eukaryota, Metazoa, Chordata, Mammalia, Pilosa, Megalonychidae.
CUGAAAAGGGGAAAAAAGGAAAAAAAAAAAAAAAAGAAGACCUGGCUCCUCGUUUCAUCCGGAAACCGACGGGCCGGCAGGAAAUGACGGAGGUAGCGGUCGUCCAGGUCCGCUCGAUAACCGGUUCGCGUGCGCCCGGCUCCGACCCGGGGGGGAAAGAGUCCCGGAGCCGAGCCGAGCGGGCCUCGUGCCGCCUCCGGAACACGCAGCCCCCAUGGCUGGAAGUUACGGAGUGAUGGGUGAUGAUGGUUCUAUUGAUUAUACUGUUCACGAAGCCUGGAAUGAAGCCACGAAUGUUUACUUGAUUGUGAUCCUUGUUAGCUUCUUUCUCUUCAUGUAUGCCAAGAGGAAUAAAAGGAAAAUCAUGAGAAUAUUCAGUGUGCCGCCUACCGCAGAAACUUUGUCAGAACCCGACUUUUAUGACACAAUAAGCAAAAUUCGUUUGAGACAGCAACUGGAAAUGUAUUCCAUUUCAAGGAAAUACGACUAUCAGCAGCCACAAAACCAACCCGACAGUGUGCAGCUCUCAUUGGAAUGAAAUUCAGAAAAUGAGUAACAGAACUAACUGAUGAGAAUCAUGCACACCCACUGACAGGAACAACACCAAGUCUGGCUUUGAAGUUUCUUCACUGCUUCAACAGCUGAGCUGGGUGAGGGGUGGAAACCCUGCAACCACACUUCAAAGUGACACCAGCUGAUUGGCCUGCCUCUGCCCCUGCAUCCACCAGCAAUUCAAUGGAGCUGCGUUUUUUUGGAAGAAAAAUGGAAUGACUGAUAAACUGAGUUUCUGCUGCUCUUGUAAAUAGAAAUGACAGAGGUUCUCACUGUCUUGAAAGAGUGGCUCCAUCCCUGGAGUUCUUAUGAAAAAAUACUUUGACAGAUUUCAAACCAGUGGAAGAAAGUUGAGGAUUUCUAACUGCAACCAGCUGUUGUUGCUAAACUUAACUGCAAAUGCUUUUGACUUCAGUAAUCUGAAUUUCUUGAGAAAAAGGUACCAAAUUGUGCCAGUUUGAAUAUAUUGUGUCCCCCAAACGCCAUUAUCUUUGAUGCAAUCUUGUGGGGCAGACAUUUUAGUGCUGAUUAGAUUGGAAUUCUUUGAAUGUUUCCAUGGAGCUGUGCCC